Sinocyclocheilus anshuiensis is the source of this 167-nucleotide long non-coding RNA. RefSeq lists it as uncharacterized. NCBI's taxonomy places the organism in Eukaryota, Metazoa, Chordata, Actinopteri, Cypriniformes, Cyprinidae. The record is from RefSeq and is a predicted model, not a curated record. The transcript is spliced from 3 exons.
CGCUUUGCACGUAAGCGGAAGUGCAGUUCAGUUCAGCACGAGCAGAAAUGCCAUCUACACCUGUGUGCAAACACCUGAGAUGGGAAGAUCAACUUCCAUUAAGGAUAUGCAGUGCAUGUGUGGGUGAGAAAGAGGCAGAGAAAGGGAAGAGCGUUAAAGAGACGAGA